CAGAUUCGAGACUUAGAACGUGGAUGCC
This 28-nucleotide non-coding RNA is filed under the name Cricetulus griseus (Chinese hamster). Lineage: Eukaryota; Metazoa; Chordata; Mammalia; Rodentia; Cricetidae. The record is from RNAcentral.